GAUGAAGAACGCAGCGAAAUGCGAUAAGUAGUGUGAAUUGCAGAAUUCCGUGAAUCAUCGAAUCUUUGAACGCACAUUGCGCCUUCUGGUAUUCCGGAAGGCAUGCCUGUUCGAGAGUCAUUAACAACCGUUUCGAUCCCUUUCUUUCAGAAAUUACAAAGAGGAAAAGGGUUUGGUUAUGGUGGAGGACGGAAAGGGAGCGUUUAGCCUGUAAAAAAAGAGGCUGUGUUCCGCCUCCCCCCCAAAAUUGUACAGGCGGUCGUGUGCGCCCACGCAUCGAGGUGUUGUAAAAGCUGCCACGGCACUUUUCACCUGUGCAGUGCGAGAUUGGCCAGCCGGUUUAAAAACCCCUCCAAACAAUCAAAGGUUGACCUCGGAUCAGGUAGGGAUACCCGCUGAACUUAAGCAUAUCAAUAAGCGGAGGA
RNAcentral lists this unclassified non-coding RNA (425 nucleotides) under soil metagenome. RNAcentral describes it as "partial contains 5.8S ribosomal RNA, internal transcribed spacer 2, and large subunit ribosomal RNA". The stretch from base 1 to 120 matches the Rfam family "5.8S ribosomal RNA", at positions 35 to 154 of the family's 154-position model. The record is from RNAcentral.